UGAUUAGCUUGUUGGCGGGGUAACGGCCCACCAAGGCAACGAUCAGUAGGGGUUCUGAGAGGAAGGUCCCCCACAUUGGAACUGAGACACGGUCCAAACUCCUACGGGAGGCAGCAGUGAGGAAUAUUGGUCAAUGGGCGAGAGCCUGAACCAGCCAAGUAGCGUGCAGGAAGACGGCCCUAUGGGUUGUAAACUGCUUUUAUAAGGGAAUAAAGUUAGUCUCGUGAGACUUUUUGCAUGUACCUUAUGAAUAAGGACCGGCUAAUUCCGUGCCAGCAGCCGCGGUAAUACGGAAGGUCCGGGCGUUAUCCGGAUUUAUUGGGUUUAAAGGGAGCGUAGGCCGGAGAUUAAGCGUGUUGUGAAAUGUAGACGCUCAACGUCUGCACUGCAGCGCGAACUGGUUUCCUUGAGUACGCACAAAGUGGGCGGAAUUCGUGGUGUAGCGGUGAAAUGCUUAGAUAUCACGAAGAACUCCGAUUGCGAAGGCAGCUCACUGGAGCGCAACUGACGCUGAAGCUCGAAAGUGCGGGUAUCGAACAGGAUUAGAUACCCUGGUAGUCCGCACGGUAAACGAUGGAUGCCCGCUGUUGGUCUGAACAGGUCAGCGGCCAAGCGAAAGCAUUAAGCAUCCCACCUGGGGAGUACGCCGGCAACGGUGAAACUCAAAGGAAUUGACGGGGGCCCGCACAAGCGGAGGAACAUGUGGUUUAAUUCGAUGAUACGCGAGGAACCUUACCCGGGCUUGAAUUGCAGAGGAAGGAUUUGGAGACAAUGACGCCCUUCGGGGUCUCUGUGAAGGUGCUGCAUGGUUGUCGUCAGCUCGUGCCGUGAGGUGUCGGCUUAAGUGCCAUAACGAGCGCAACCCCUCUCCUUAGUUGCCAUCAGGUUAAGCUGGGCACUCUGGGGACACUGCCACCGUAAGGUGUGAGGAAGGUGGGGAUGACGUCAAAUCAGCACGGCCCUUACGUCCGGGGCUACACACGUGUUACAAUGGCAGGUACAGAGAGACGGUUGUACGUAAGUACGAUCAAAUCCUUAAGGCCUGUCUCAGUUCGGACUGGGGUCUGCAACCCGACCCCACGAAGCUGGAUUCGCUAGUAAUCGCGCAUCAGCCAUGGCGCGGUGAAUACGUUCCCGGGCCUUGUACACACCGCCCGUCAAGCCAUGAAAGCCGGGGGCGCCUAAAGUCCGUGACCGUAAGGAGCGGCCUAGGGCGAAACUGGUAAUUGGGGCUAAGUCGUAACAAGGUA
RNAcentral lists this ribosomal RNA (1250 nucleotides) under metagenome. RNAcentral describes it as "bacterial SSU rRNA". It matches the Rfam family "Bacterial small subunit ribosomal RNA", at positions 238 to 1498 of the family's 1533-position model. The record is from RNAcentral.